CCCAGACUCCUACGGGAGGCAGCAGUAGGGAAUCUUCCACAAUGGGCGAAAGCCUGAUGGAGCAACGCCGCGUGGGUGAAGAAGGUCUUCGGAUCGUAAAACCCUGUUGUUAGAGAAGAAAGUGCGUGAGAGUAACUGUUCACGUUUCGACGGUAUCUAACCAGAAAGCCACGGCUAACUACGCGCCAGCAGCCGCGGUAAUACGUAGGUGGCAAGCGUUGUCCGGAUUUACUGGGUGUAAAGGGCGUGCAGCCGGGCUGACAAGUCAGAUGUGAAAUCCCGCGGCUCAACCGCGGAACUGCAUUUGAAACUGUCAGUCUUGAGUACCGGAGAGGUCAUCGGAAUUCCUUGUGUAGCGGUGAAAUGCGUAGAUAUAAGGAAGAACACCAGUGGCGAAGGCGGAUGACUGGACGGCAACUGACGGUGAGGCGCGAAAGCGUGGGGAGCAAACAGGAUUAGAUACCCUAGUAA
RNAcentral lists this ribosomal RNA (471 nucleotides) under uncultured bacterium. Its description in RNAcentral is "partial 16S ribosomal RNA". It matches the Rfam family "Bacterial small subunit ribosomal RNA", at positions 330 to 793 of the family's 1533-position model. The record is from RNAcentral.